GAUGAAGAACGUAGCGAAAUGCGAUACGUAAUGUGAAUUGCAGAAUUCAGUGAAUCAUCGAAUCUUUGAACGCAUAUUGCGCUCUCUGGUAUUCCGGAGAGCAUGCUUGUUUGAGUAUCAGUAAACACCUCAACUCCCCUUUCUUUUUUUGAAAUGGGAGCUGGACUUGAGUGAUCCCAACGCUUUUCUCACCGAAAAGUGGCGGGUUACUUGAAAUGCAGGUGCAGCUGGACUUUUCUCUGAGCUAAAAGCAUAUCUAUUUAGUCUGCCUAAAAGACAGAUUAUUACCUUUGCUGCAGCUAACAUAAAGGAGAUUAGUUCUUGUGCUGACUGAUGCAGGAUUCACAGAGACAGCUUCGGCUGGCCUUUGUAAACUCGAUCUCAAAUCAAGUAAGACUACCCGCUGAACUUAAGCAUAUCAAUAAGCGGAGGA
This 433-nucleotide unclassified non-coding RNA is filed under the name soil metagenome. RNAcentral describes it as "partial contains 5.8S ribosomal RNA, internal transcribed spacer 2, and large subunit ribosomal RNA". The stretch from base 1 to 120 matches the Rfam family "5.8S ribosomal RNA", at positions 35 to 154 of the family's 154-position model. The record is from RNAcentral.